GAGUUUGAUCCUGGCUCAGGACGAACGCUGGCGGCGCGCCUAACACAUGCAAGUCGAACGAGCAAAGAGGAGCUUGCUUCUCUGAGCGAGUGGCGAACGGGUGAGUAACGCGUGAGGAAGCUGCCUCAAAGAGGGGGACAACAGUUGGAAACGACUGCUAAUACCGCAUAAGCCCACGGGUCGGCAUCGACCAGAGGGAAAAGGAGUGAUCCGCUUUGAGAUGGCCUCGCGUCCGAUUAGCUAGUUGGUGAGGUAACGGCCCACCAAGGCGACGAUCGGUAGCCGGACUGAGAGGUUGAACGGCCACAUUGGGACUGAGACACGGCCCAGACUCCUACGGGAGGCAGCAGUGGGGAAUAUUGCACAAUGGGGGAAACCCUGAUGCAGCGACGCCGCGUGGAGGAAGAAGGUCUUCGGAUUGUAAACUCCUGUUGUUGAGGAAGAUAAUGACGGUACUCAACAAGGAAGUGACGGCUAACUACGUGCCAGCAGCCGCGGUAAAACGUAGGUCACAAGCGUUGUCCGGAAUUACUGGGUGUAAAGGGAGCGCAGGCGGGAAGACAAGUUGGAAGUGAAAUCCAUGGGCUCAACCCAUGAACUGCUUUCAAAACUGUUUUCUUGAGUAGUGCAGAGGUANGCGGAAUUCCCGGUGUAGCGGUGGAAUGCGUAGAUAUCGGGAGGAACACCAGUGGCGAAGGCGGCCUACUGGGCACCAACUGACGCUGAGGCUCGAAAGUGUGGGUAGCAAACAGGAUUAGAUACCCUGGUAGUCCACACCGUAAACGAUGAUUACUAGGUGUUGGAGGAUUGACCCCUUCAGUGCCGCAGUUAACACAAUAAGUAAUCCACCUGGGGAGUACGACCGCAAGGUUGAAACUCAAAGGAAUUGACGGGGGCCCGCACAAGCAGUGGAGUAUGUGGUUUAAUUCGACGCAACGCGAAGAACCUUACCAAGUCUUGACAUCCUGCGACGGACAUAGAAAUAUGUCUUUCCUUCGGGACGCAGAGACAGGUGGUGCAUGGUUGUCGUCAGCUCGUGUCGUGAGAUGUUGGGUUAAGUCCCGCAACGAGCGCAACCCUUAUGGUCAGUUACUACGCAAGAGGACUCUGGCCAGACUGCCGUUGACAAAACGGAGGAAGGUGGGGAUGACGUCAAAUCAUCAUGCCCUUUAUGACUUGGGCUACACACGUACUACAAUGGCGUUAAACAAAGAGAAGCAUGACCGCGAGGUGGAGCAAAACUCAGAAACAACGUCCCAGUUCGGACUGCAGGCUGCAACUCGCCUGCACGAAGUCGGAAUUGCUAGUAAUCGUGGAUCAGCAUGCCACGGUGAAUACGUUCCCGGGCCUUGUACACACCGCCCGUC
This 1367-nucleotide ribosomal RNA is filed under the name uncultured bacterium. Its description in RNAcentral is "bacterial SSU rRNA". It matches the Rfam family "Bacterial small subunit ribosomal RNA". The record is from RNAcentral.